GACGGAGGGUGCGAGCGUUGUUCGGAAUUAUUGGGCGUAAAGCGCGUGUAGGCGGCUUGGCUAGUCGGGUGUGAAAUCCCUCGGCUUAACCGGGGAGUUGUGCUCGAAACGGCCAGGCUCGAGUGCGGGAGGGGGAAGUGGAAUUCCCAGUGUAGAGGUGAAAUUCGUAGAUAUUGGGAGGAACACCGGUGGCGAAAGCGACUUCCUGGACCGACACUGACGCUGAGACGCGAAAGCGUGGGGAG
This 245-nucleotide ribosomal RNA is filed under the name uncultured Pseudomonadota bacterium. Its description in RNAcentral is "uncultured proteobacterium partial 16S ribosomal RNA". It matches the Rfam family "Bacterial small subunit ribosomal RNA", at positions 524 to 768 of the family's 1533-position model. Lineage: Bacteria; Pseudomonadati; Pseudomonadota. The record is from RNAcentral.